GACGAACGCUGGCGGCGUGCUUAACACAUGCAAGUCGAACGGAAAGGCCCUGCUUUUGUGGGGUGCUCGAGUGGCGAACGGGUGAGUAACACGUGAGUAACCUGCCCUUGACUUUGGGAUAACUUCAGGAAACUGGGGCUAAUACCGGAUAGGAGCUCCUGCUGCAUGGUGGGGGUUGGAAAGUUUCGGCGGUUGGGGAUGGACUCGCGGCUUAUCAGCUUGUUGGUGGGGUAGGGGCUUACCAAGGCUUUGACGGGUAGCCGGCCUGAGAGGGUGACCGGCCACAUUGGGACUGAGAUACGGCCCAGACUCCUACGGGAGGCAGCAGUAGGGAAUAUUGCACAAUGGGCGGAAGCCUGAUGCAGCAACGCCGCGUGCGGGAUGACGGCCUUCGGGUUGUAAACCGCUUUCGCCUGUGACGAAGCGUGAGUGACGGUAAUGGGUAAAGAAGCACCGGCUAACUACGUG
This 468-nucleotide ribosomal RNA is filed under the name uncultured bacterium. RNAcentral's name for it is "partial 16S ribosomal RNA". It matches the Rfam family "Bacterial small subunit ribosomal RNA", at positions 28 to 507 of the family's 1533-position model. The record is from RNAcentral.